CUUACUUGGAGCCUGGGGUGGAAGAAAAAGGCAAGGACACUUCUGGCCAGGGCAGAUAAAAGGGCAUUGACUAUAUAUUUAAUUUGUGUUCCUUGCUUGAUUUCUCCUUUCGUUAUCUGCACACCUUGAGCUCAAGCAGACCAGUGCUUCACUUCUGACCGGCAGGCAGCCACCCAAAAACCAGCUUAAUGAAAAUUCUGCAUCUCUGCACUAUUCCCACUGUAUGCUGCUGACGAAGGGCUUGUAUGGCAUUAGGGGCUUCCUGAAACAAAGUAUGAGCAAUACUUCUGCAAUAUUCUUGUUUUCAUUUGGUUAGGCAGCCUGAAGUACCUGGAAAAUGUUUUCUACUAACAUUGCAUCCUUCUAAUACUGGAGUAUAUUUGGGAUAUAGUAACAUCUCCAUAUGGUAUAUAUAAAGAAAUGUGAGCCCACAUAUAAUGCUUUGGUCUCUGUCUGUAAAUACGAACUUUUGGUCAAGCACAUAAAAACCCAAAUGCUUUUUCCAUUUGCUGUAUUCCUGUUACAGAAUAUGUUCAUUUAGCUUAUAAAACUUACAAACCUAGUCUAUGUGUAUUGACACCCAUUAUUACAAUAUUACAGCUUACAUGCAAAUGAAUAGACAUCAUUUCUAGGAAAUUUAAAGUAGCUGAAAUACUAUAUUGAAGUUACCUGUUUUUAUUUUAGACAUUCCCAUUAUUCCUACUCUCACAUUAGACUUUUUAGGAAAACACUUUAAAAUGCUAGGAAAAUGGAAAGAUCUGGCCAUAUUUUCAGAUCAUGCACUAUUAACAACAUUCUGAUGAAGUUCUUUCUAAUGUAUCUGCAUAACAUUUUAUAUUUUUUUAUAUUAGAAUAAGUGAAGAUAAAAACUUCAUAAUGCCACCUACUGCUGAAAAUACACAUUUUAAAGACCUUGCUAGUUUGGAUUCCUUCAAACAAAAGGACAGUGGAAGAAAGUAUCUGUUGGAAUAAGACCUUUCAAACCUCUGAAGUAUGGUGAAGACAAGUCUUGACUUGCCAAGUGCACUUAAGUCACACUGAGUUCUUUAACUUUGAGCCAGUGGCUACUUUGACUGAAGCUCUAAUGAGGAGUGAAUGAGGAGCUGGGAUUUUGACUAGGAGUUUUUUCGCUGUUACAUUUUUAAUGAGAACUUUCACUUUAAAACUAGUCCCUGUGACAUCACUAGAAAAACACUGAUGAAAGGAUUCAGUGAAGCAAAAUGUAUUUUUCACUCCGUGAUGAGACAUCCUCUGUUUCACACAGAACUCUGCAUGAGAUGUAAGCCAAGGACCAAUAGAAUCCGCCUCACAUGUGGCACAUCCCUUCUUACAUCGCACCGUCAUAAGAUGGGCCAUGGAACCCUGCUUGGUUGUUGGCAUAAGAUGGAACCAUGGAAAUACAAGAAAUGGUAGGGUUUUGUACAUGAGUGUGAACAUGUAGAAUAUAGACCCUUAUUAUUCCUGAGGAAAGUUCAACUUUAAAUUUGUCUCUGAGGAAUUAGGAAUGGUUUAUCUACUGCUGGUACUUGUCUCAUCCUGUAGAAUAAACUGACACUGAAAUGCUUUAA
Long non-coding RNA from Pezoporus occidentalis (night parrot), 1568 nucleotides. RefSeq lists it as uncharacterized. The transcript has 2 exons. Lineage: Eukaryota; Metazoa; Chordata; Aves; Psittaciformes; Psittacidae. The record is from RefSeq and is a predicted model, not a curated record.